GAUAUGGCUCAGGAUGAACGCUAGCGGCAGGCUUAACACAUGCAAGUCGAGGGGCAGCAUAAUGGAUAGCAAUAUCUAUGGUGGCGACCGGCGCACGGGUGCGUAACGCGUAUGCAACCUACCUUUAACAGGGGGAUAACACUGAGAAAUUGGUACUAAUACCCCAUAAUAUCAUAGAAGGCAUCUUUUAUGGUUGAAAAUUCCGAUGGUUAGAGAUGGGCAUGCGUUGUAUUAG
This 235-nucleotide ribosomal RNA is filed under the name uncultured bacterium. Its description in RNAcentral is "partial 16S ribosomal RNA". It matches the Rfam family "Bacterial small subunit ribosomal RNA", at positions 15 to 244 of the family's 1533-position model. The record is from RNAcentral.